UAUAUAUAUAUAUAUAUAUAUAUAUAUAUAUACAUGUGUGUAUGUAUAUAUAUUACUUUAAAUCGAAUGCUGUUGUCGAAGAGUUUAUAUACGCUUAGAUUAUUUAAUCUAAAUGUCGUUUUUUGCCGUCAUGUUUGAUUGUUUUGUAAUAGAUAUUCUGUGAAUUUAUAUUUUGUAAAUCAUAUAUACGUAUAAAUGAAUAUGCACACAUAUAUUAAUAUAUUUAAUAUUAUAUUUAUAUUAUAUAAUUUAUAUUUUAUAUCGUAUUUUUAAAUAUAUUAAUAUUUAUUAAUAUUUAUUAAUAUAUUUAAAAAUACGAUAUAAAAUAUAAAUUAUGAAUAUAUAAACAACAAAUUUAAUACAUAAUUUUAAAAGAUCGCUACGAAUAACGCGAAAUAACACGUAACCUUAAUGAUUAUAACCUAUACAAAAGUUGAAAAUUUGACAGUAAAAAGAAAUAAAAAAAGAAAAUGAAUGGUUUGAAAUAAUAAAUAUUUUAAUAAAUGCUUUAAGUUGAAGUGUUUUAGUUUUCUUUAUUUGUUUAAUUUGAGUGUAAAUAAUUUAACUGUUUUUCUGUGGAAUACUUUUAUCAAUUAUAAAAUUAACGAUCGUUUAUAUAAUAGAAUUUUAGAACAUAAGUAAAUAUAAAUCUCACAUAUAGUUUCUCUCCAAUCUUAAUAUUCAUAGUUUCGUUAUUUUGAAGAUUAUACUUUUUAAAAUAAUGUGAUAUAAUUAGAAGAAUUAUAAUAAUGCAGAAAUAUUUAAAUUCAUAAUAAUUUUUGUGUUUAAAUAUAUUGAUAAACAUUCGUAAUAAUAAUAAUAAUCCAUUUUAAAUAUUUUUCCACAACAAGAUUUAAUUGUCUAUGUUACUAAUUGAGAAUAAUAUUAUUUAACUAUAUUACGUGGAAAUCGAGAAUAUGUAAAUGCUCGACAAUGUGGAAUUUAUAAUAGUUUAAUCUCCUGGUUUGUGUCGCAAAAACAAAUACAGUGAUGCAAUAUUUAGAGAUCCUGGCAAACAAAGAAAAUUCAUCAACUGAAGCACAUGUAAUCUUAUUACGGAUACAAUUGCUCAAUUUUUUUCUGUAGAAGAUUAAGUCAAGAUAAAGAUCCAAGAUAAUAUCAUGUGUAUUUGUUCAAUUGUCUUUAAAAAAUGCAAGAAUUUAUAAUGUAAUAUCACUCGUUUCAGAAUCCACUGCAUUGUAUUUUCUUGUGAAAUUGGUGAAGAAAAUUUUGAGUCUAAUGUUCUUAAAUGUGAAAACGGUAGAUAAUCAUCUAAUCAAGAUGGGAUAUGUCAAUCGAUGUUUGGAUUCCAUAGCUAUUGACGGAGACCGAUGAACCGUGUCUCUACGUACGAUUUCUUUCUCCAGCGACAUGAAAGAGAUUCUCUUAUAAAGAGGCUUGUCACUAGAAACGAGACAUGGAUUUUGUAUCAAAAUAUGCAUCCAAAACGUACUUGAUGGAUAAGGGACAAUAGAUCUUCAACUGUCACGAAGCCUGUACUUCACCCGAAGAAAAUUUUUUUAUCCAUUUGGUGGGAUUGGAAAGAUAUAGUCUACUAUGAGUGCCUUUCUCAAGGUGAAACCAUCAAUUUUGAAAAAUAUUGCAAUCAGCUUGAUAAAUUGAAACACGCCAUAGCAGAAAAACAACCAAAAUUGGUGAACUGACGAGGCCAUUACAAUCGCAUGUUGCAUCGACUGUAAGAGAAAAAUUAUAGAAAUUAUAUAUGGUGCUUAAUGUAUACGGUUUUGAACUUUGAUGAGAAGUUGAUGCAACCGCUACACACGAAGAUGUUCAUAAGAGUCCUUCGAAUGAGAAAAGUAUGAUUAUUGCGUCACUUGCCGUUCUUCGAGUUAUAAGCGAAUUGAAUAACUUUCAGGAGCUAAUCGAUUGCUAAAGAUAAACAAGUGGGCUGCAACAAGAGAUCGAGACAUCACGAUCGAUUGCGGAAGAUAUCUGUGUAGGAAAAAUAUGGCGGGACCCAUGUUUAAAAAAAAAAAAAUAAAGAUUUCGUAAUGAUAUUUAACCGAUUGUUGCUAGAUUCUUACUUUCGUUAUCAAAAGGAAACGAUGGACUUCAGUAAUGAAUCGAUCAUAGUUGUAUAUGGAUUGAAUCGGAAUUCGAUCGUUGGUUAGAAGAAAACUAAAUAAAAAAAAAAAAAAGAAAAAAAAAUGAUUGGUCGAAUUCGAAUUCUUGCAACUAUUUGUAUAAACGAAAUAGAAAGAUGCAGAUGUGUUCUGUUCACGAUCAGUUCGCACAAUCUCAUUAAAAAAAAUUCCUUUUGAUUUCGUUAAAUAGCAGAUAGAAAAAGAGAAAAUAGAGAAAAUUAUCAUUACAUUAAGAAACAAUGAAAUAAAGUUAAGAUGAUAAAUGUAACGUAUUAUAAAUGUAAAAUGUAUGAAAUUGUGAAACAGUCGAUAUUUGCUUUUUUUGUUUUCACACUUAUACGUUCGGAAAUAUAUGAAUUUAGCAAUCUA
Apis cerana (Asiatic honeybee) is the source of this 2474-nucleotide long non-coding RNA. RefSeq lists it as uncharacterized. Lineage: Eukaryota; Metazoa; Arthropoda; Insecta; Hymenoptera; Apidae. The record is from RefSeq and is a predicted model, not a curated record.